AGAGUUUGAUCAUGGCUCAGGACGAACGCUGGCGGCGUGCUUAACACAUGCAAGUCGAACGAGGUUAUUUUGAUGAGAUCUUCGGAUGGAUUUGAAAUAACCGAGUGGCGGACGGGUGAGUAACGCGUGAGCAACCUGUCUUCUACAGGGGGAUAACGCUCCGAAAGGAGUGCUAAUACCGCAUAAGACCACGGAGCCGCAUGGUUAUGAGGUCAAAGGAGAGAUCCGGUAGAAGGUGGGCUCGCGUCCCAUUAGAUAGUUGGUGAGGUAACGGCUCACCAAGUCGACGAUGGGUAGCCGACCUGAGAGGGUGAUCGGCCACAUUGGAACUGAGAUACGGUCCAGACUCCUACGGGAGGCAGCAGUGGGGAAUAUUGGGCAAUGGGCGAAAGCCUGACCCAGCAACGCCGCGUGAGGGAAGAAGGUCUUCGGGUUGUAAACCUCUGUCCUUGGUGAAAAGGAAGGAUGGUAGCCAAGGAGGAAGCCCCGGCUAACUACGUGCCAGCAGCCGCGGUAAUACGUAGGGGGCGAGCGUUGUCCGGAAUGAUUGGGCGUAAAGGGCGUGUAGGCGGCUGUAUAAGUCUGGAGUGAAAGUCCUGUUUUCAAGAUGGGAAUUGCUUUGGAUACUGUACAGCUUGAGUGCAGGAGAGGUUAUCGGAAUUCCCGGUGUAGCGGUGAAAUGCGUAGAGAUCGGGAGGAACACCAGUGGCGAAGGCGGGUAACUGGACUGCAACUGACGCUGAGGCGCGAAAGUGUGGGGAGCAAACAGGAUUAGAUACCCUGGUAGUCCACACUGUAAACGAUGAAUGCUAGGUGUAGGGGGUAUCGACCCCUUCUGUGCCGCAGUCAACACAAUAAGCAUUCCGCCUGGGGAGUACGGCCGCAAGGUUGAAACUCAAAGGAAUUGACGGGGGCCCGCACAAGCAGCGGAGCAUGUGGUUUAAUUCGACGCAACGCGAAGAACCUUACCAGGUCUUGACAUCCAGUAAAAGCAUCAGAGAUGAUGUGUGAGCUUGCUCGUACUGAGACAGGUGGUGCAUGGUUGUCGUCAGCUCGUGUCGUGGGAUGUUGGGUUAAGUCCCGCAACGAGCGCAACCCCUGUUACUAGUUGCCAUCAUUAAGUUGGGCACUCUAGUGAGACUGCCGGGGACAACCCGGAGGAAGGCGGGGAUGACGUCAAAUCAUCAUGCCCCUUAUGUUCUGGGCGACACACGUGCUACAAUGGCUGUCACAGAGGGAUGCGAAGGAGCGAUCCGGAGCGAAACCCUAAAGGCAGUCCCAGUUCGGACUGCAGGCUGAAACCCGCCUGCACGAAGUCGGAGUUGCUAGUAAUCGCGGAUCAGAAUGCCGCGGUGAAUGCGUUCCCGGGUCUUGUACACACCGCCCGUCACACCAUGGAAGCUGGGGGUGCCCGAAGUCGGUCGCUAAUCAGACUGCCUAAGGCAAAACCAGUGACUGGGGUGAAGUCGUAACAAGGUAGCCGUA
RNAcentral lists this ribosomal RNA (1485 nucleotides) under uncultured rumen bacterium. RNAcentral's name for it is "bacterial SSU rRNA". It matches the Rfam family "Bacterial small subunit ribosomal RNA". The record is from RNAcentral.